AUGUCCAAGGUUUCCAGGGUAAAGCUGAUCUGCCCUGGGUGAGUCGGGGCCUAAGGCGAGGCUGAAAAGCGUAGCCGAUGGAUAACAGGUAGAGAUUCCUGUACUGCCUUAUAACAGAAGAUGCGGGGACGCGUUGGCAAAGUGUGAGCCGGGAAAGGAAAAACCGGUGCAAGGACGAGAGGCGUCGGAGGGGAAAGUCCCUUCCGGCAGCAAGCCGGCCGUCUGAUGCAUAGCGAAAAAGAGUAGCGAAACACAUGGAGCGGGCGCCGAGAAAAGCCGCUAUUGUUUGUAAGGUACCCGUACCGAAGACCGACACAGGUGGACAGGGAGAGGAUCCCAAGGCCGGCGGGCGAAGCACUGCCAAGGAACUCGGCAAAAUGGCCCCGUAACUUCGGGAGAAGGGGCGCCCCCGUGAGGGGGCCGCAGAGAAUAGGCCCAAGCAACUGUUUAGCAAAAACACAGGUCUGUGCAAAACCGCAAGGUGAAGUAUACGGGCUGACGCCUGCCCGGUGCUGGAAGGUUAAGGGGAGGGGUAAGCGGGAAACCGCGAAGCUCCGAGCCUAAGCCCCAGUAAACGGCGGCCGUAACUAUAACGGUCCUAAGGUAGCGAAAUUCAUUGUCGGGCAAGUUCCGACCCGCACGAAAGGCGUAAUGAUUUGGGCGCUGUCUCGGCAGUGCACCCGGUGAAAUUGAAGUGCCAGUGAAGAUGCUGGCUACCUGCGCCAGGACGGAAAGACCCCAUGGAGCUUUACUCCAGCUUGAUGCUGGGAUCCGGUGCUGCACGUACAGGAUAGGCGGGAGGCAGAGAAGCAAGGGCGCCAGCCCUUGUGGAGCCGCCGUUGGGAUACCGCCCCUGCAGCACUGGCUUCCUAACCCGCGCCCGUGAAUCCGGGCGGGGGACACCGUCUGGCGGGGAGUUUGACUGGGGCGGUCGCCUCCGAAAGAGUAUCGGAGGCGCUCAAAGGUCCCUUCAGGAUGGACGGAAACCAUCCGGAGAGCGCAAAGGCAGAAGGGGGCCUGACUGUGACGCCGACGGGCGGAGCAGGUACGAAAGUAGGACUUAGUGAUCCGGUGGCAUGAAGUGGGACUGCCAUCGCUCAACGGAUAAAAGCUACCCUGGGGAUAACAGGCUUAUCACCCCCAAGAGUUCACAUCGACGGGGUGGUUUGGCACCUCGAUGUCGGCUCAUCGCAUCCUGGGGCUGUAGCAGGUCCCAAGGGUUGGGCUGUUCGCCCAUUAAAGCGGUACGCGAGCUGGGUU
This 1260-nucleotide ribosomal RNA is filed under the name mouse gut metagenome. RNAcentral describes it as "bacterial LSU rRNA". It matches the Rfam family "Bacterial large subunit ribosomal RNA", at positions 1341 to 2611 of the family's 2925-position model. The record is from RNAcentral.